CCGUUACUUCGGUACAAGAGAGACAGGUGGUGCAUGGUUGUCGUCAGCUCGUGUCGUGAGAUGUUGGGUUAAGUCCCGCAACGAGCGCAACCCCUAUCUUUAGUAGCCAGCAUUUCGGGUGGGCACUCUAGAGAGACUGCCGGGGAUAACCCGGAGGAAGGUGGGGAUGACGUCAAAUCAUCAUGCCCCUUAUGAUUUGGGCUACACACGUGCUACAAUGGCGUAAACAAAGGGAAGCAGCCCUGUGAAGGUGAGCAAAUCCCAAAAAUAACGUCCCAGUUCGGAUUGUAGUCUGCAACUCGACUACAUGAAGCUGGAAUCGCUAGUAAUCGCGGAUCAGAAUGCCGCGGUGAAUACGUUCCCGGGUCUUGUAACACACCGAA
RNAcentral lists this ribosomal RNA (383 nucleotides) under uncultured bacterium. Its description in RNAcentral is "bacterial SSU rRNA". It matches the Rfam family "Bacterial small subunit ribosomal RNA", at positions 1012 to 1394 of the family's 1533-position model. The record is from RNAcentral.